UGAGCUGAUCUCCGGUCUCCUAACUCUGUGGCUUAGUUCAUUUCUACAAUACAGAAACUGAAUGGCCCAUCACCCCCUGCCCAAGCCUGCUGGAGGAGGCUGGCUAGCUGGACGUGAGAGUCUGGGAAUGAAGUCAGCUGUCUCAGCGCCAGGACUCUGGCUGUCUUCGGUGAGGAGCCAGGUCAACAAAGCAGAAUGAGAAGUUCUUAGAAUUCCGGAUUUGCUGCAUUCACUCUGGCAGUGCUUUUGAAAAGUUGUUACCUUUAAUAUGACAUCAAAUAUGGAAUUCCAAACAACCCAAGAAUAAUUCAGGAAAUGACAAGACACAUACCUGGCAGCGUGAGGCAUGGUGGUUGCAGACCUGGCGAGGCUCCAUUCCUGCUCAGGCACAGCGGCGCUGACGCACAGGCUGUAUCAUUUUGUAAGCAGGAGACACCUAACUUCCCGGUGGAAAUAUGUUUGCUGGUGGGUGCUCGCAUGUCUUUGCCAAGGCAUUAUUCUUUGUUGAUGAUUCACAUGUUGUUUUAUCCUUUAGGUAAUAUUGUAGGGCUCAGUAUAAAUAAAUGCAAAUUGUCCUCUU
Molecule: non-coding RNA, 580 nt
Organism: Macaca mulatta (Rhesus monkey)
Lineage: Eukaryota; Metazoa; Chordata; Mammalia; Primates; Cercopithecidae
Source: RefSeq, a predicted model, not a curated record